Molecule: unclassified non-coding RNA, 693 nt
Filed under: Hevea brasiliensis (rubber tree)
Lineage: Eukaryota; Viridiplantae; Streptophyta; Magnoliopsida; Malpighiales; Euphorbiaceae
Source: RNAcentral
GAGAAUCUUUGUGGGUACGUGGAAUGUUGCGGGAAGAUCUCCUGUGGGAAGUCUAGCUGUAGAUUUGGAUGAGUGGCUAAAUCUGAAAGAAGCAGCAGAUAUUUAUGUUCUUGGCUUCCAGGAAAUAGUCCCUCUAAAGCCUAAAACUGUAAUUGGAGCAGAAGAUCCAACAGAAGCUACUAACUGGAAUGUGCUCGUCGGUAAAACUCUAAAUAGCAAGUAUGGUGGUGCCUGGUUAACACCCAUGGUCAAUCCAAUCACCAAUGAUAAUUAUCGAUAUGAUCAAGCCACUGAAUCAGAUAGUAGACUGAGGAAUGACUACGAAAUAGUUUCAGCAAGAGGUCAGUCUAGAACUGAAUAUAAGCUCUCAGAUUGUGUUGGUAGUUACAAAUUGAUGGCUAGCAAGAAGAUGGUUGGUGUCUUCAUUAGUGUGUGGAUGAGAAGGACAUUGCUAAAGAAGUAUUGUGUCUCCGAAGUAAAGGUCUCUUCAGUAGCUUGCGGCAUUAUGGGCUAUUUGGGAAACAAAGGAUCCGUCUCUGUGAGCAUGUCCAUAGGAGGAACUAGUUUUUGCUUUGUGGCAGCUCACUUAGCCUCAGGAGAAAAGAAAGGUGAUGAAGGGAAGAGGAACCGUCAAGUCACCGAGAUUUUUAGGAGAACGUCUUUCCCCCGGCUGACAGAAGACUGCCAUAAAAA